GACGAACGCUGGCGGCGUGCCUAAUACAUGCAAGUCGAGCGAAUUUUUGGGAGCUUGCUCCCAAAAAUUAGCGGCGGACGGGUGAGUAACACGUGGGCAACCUGCCUAUAAGACUGGGAUAACUUCGGGAAACCGGAGCUAAUACCGGAUAAUUCAUAUCUCCUCAUGUAGAUAUGCUGAAAGACGGUUUACGCUGUCACUUAUAGAUGGGCCCGCGGCGCAUUAGCUAGUUGGUGAGGUAACGGCUCACCAAGGCCACGAUGCGUAGCCGACCUGAGAGGGUGAUCGGCCACACUGGGACUGAGACACGGCCCAGACUCCUACGGGAGGCAG
Molecule: ribosomal RNA, 333 nt
Filed under: uncultured Bacillota bacterium
Lineage: Bacteria; Bacillati; Bacillota
Description: bacterial SSU rRNA
Rfam family: Bacterial small subunit ribosomal RNA
Source: RNAcentral